This 254-nucleotide ribosomal RNA is filed under the name uncultured bacterium. Its description in RNAcentral is "partial 16S ribosomal RNA". It matches the Rfam family "Bacterial small subunit ribosomal RNA", at positions 524 to 776 of the family's 1533-position model. The record is from RNAcentral.
UACGUAGGCAGCGAGCGUUGUUCGGAGUUACUGGGCGUAAAGAGCGUGUAGGCGGUUUGGUAGGUCCGUUGUGAAAACUCGAGGCUCAACCUCGAGACGCCGGCGGAAACCAUCAGGCUAGAGUCCGGAAGAGGAGAGUGGAAUUCCUGGUGUAGCGGUGAAAUGCGCAGAUAUCAGGAAGAACACCCGUGGCUAAGGCGGCUCUCUAGUACGGUACUGACGCUGAGACGCGAAAGCGUGGGGGAGCGAACAGG